Molecule: unclassified non-coding RNA, 178 nt
Filed under: soil metagenome
Description: partial internal transcribed spacer 1
Source: RNAcentral
CACAAACAUAUGAAGGUACGGGGUGCUCUGGGCACAGUACUGCGGAGGCUGAAUUAUUUCUACCCAUGUCUUUUGCGGACUUGUUGUUUCCUGGGCGAGUUCGCUCGCCACCUAGGACCCCACAUAAACCUUUCUUAUGGUUUGCAAUCAGCGUCAGUAUAACAUAAUGUAAUUAUUA